Molecule: ribosomal RNA, 253 nt
Filed under: uncultured bacterium
Lineage: Bacteria
Description: partial 16S ribosomal RNA
Rfam family: Bacterial small subunit ribosomal RNA
Source: RNAcentral
UACGUAGGGGGCAAGCGUUGUCCGGAAUCAUUGGGCGUAAAGAGCGUGUAGGCGGCCAGAAAAGUCCGCUGUGAAAACUCGAGGCUCAACUUCGAGCUGUCGGUGGAAACUUUCUGGCUAGAGUCCGGAAGAGGCGAGUGGAAUUCCUGGUGUAGCGGUGGAAUGCGCAGAUAUCAGGAGGAACACCAAUAGCGAAGGCAGCUCGCUGGGACGGUACUGACGCUAAGGCGCGAAAGCGUGGGGAGCGAACAGG